RNAcentral lists this ribosomal RNA (249 nucleotides) under uncultured bacterium. RNAcentral describes it as "partial 16S ribosomal RNA". It matches the Rfam family "Bacterial small subunit ribosomal RNA", at positions 76 to 339 of the family's 1533-position model. The record is from RNAcentral.
CUAGCAAUAGAGAACCCAGCUAGUGGCAAACGGGUGAGUAACGCGUGGGAAACUACCUUAUAGUACGGAAUAGCCUUGGGAAACUAGGAUUAAUACCGUAUACGCUCUUCGGAGGAAAGAUUUAUCGCUAUAAGAUGUGCCCGCGUUAGAUUAGCUAGUUGGUGAGGUAAUGGCUCACCAAGGCGACGAUCUAUAGCUGGUUUGAGAGGAUGAUCAGCCACACUGGAACUGAGACACGGUCCAGACUUC